GAACUCACUUCUGCGGUACAUAUACUAAAAUAGGAACGAUACAGAGAAUAUUAGUAUGGCCCCUGCGCAAUGAAAACCCCCAAAAUCAUGAAGCGUUCCACAUUUCU
Small nuclear RNA from Cimex lectularius (bed bug), 107 nucleotides. The record is from RefSeq and is a predicted model, not a curated record. NCBI's taxonomy places the organism in Eukaryota, Metazoa, Arthropoda, Insecta, Hemiptera, Cimicidae.